Molecule: long non-coding RNA, 204 nt
Filed under: Elaeis guineensis (African oil palm)
Lineage: Eukaryota; Viridiplantae; Streptophyta; Magnoliopsida; Arecales; Arecaceae
Description: long non-coding RNA (EGUI_LNC071482)
Source: RNAcentral
GUGGAGGUCCUUGAAUGCCAGCAACCAAGCAAAAUAAAAAUAGCCUUUAGAAUUUCAAUAGCCUUGUAAAUCCUAUCGGUUGAAUUUUUCAACGAUUUGAACCCCUUCUCCAUCAGAUCUGAAACCCAUCUUUUGGAACCUGAAAGUACUCUUGAUGAAGCCUCCAAAAAAUAAAAGAUGAGACCUGAAACUCCUCUUGGGUGG